CGGGCUGGGGAGCGUCAGGGGGCCCAAGGCCUUCCUGGCGAGCGUCGCAGGGCUCAGGGCUCCGGCAGGGCGCCUCGGCUCCCCCGGAGCGUCCACGGAGGUGUCGGAGAUCCCGAGGGUCCGGGGGUUGGGGGGGCGUGAAGUGGCAGCAAGACAUGCAGUUACUGACCUCUUAUUAGCCAGACGACGCGUUAAUGACACGUUCCAAUGGAAGGUUCGACGCAUGGGGAGGUACAAUUCCCCUAAGCAAGGCAAGUGUCAUGCCAACUACGAUAAAAAACGAAAAAUACACAAAAAAAAUACAAAAACAAAAAAUCCAAAAAAAAUUGUCUUGUUUUGCUUUGUUUAAAGCGUCUUGUAUGUUGGUAUGGCGGGUCUUCUAUGGGGAGAAGGAGACUAACGCGUUCCAACAUACAAAACCAGGAAAAGACGACAUGGAAACACAGAGAGAAGGAAGGGAAGAAGGGAACACCAGAAGAAGGAAAAUGAAGAGAAGUAACACUAGAAGAAGGCAUAUGAAGUAACACAAGAAGAAGGAAGUUGAAAAGAGUAACACAAGAAGAAGGAAUUUGAAAAGAGUAACACAAGAAGAGGGAAUUUGAAAAGAGUAACACAGAAGAAGGUAUUGAAAAGAGUAACACAGAAGAAGGUAUUGAAAAGAGUAACACAGAAGAAGGUAUUGAAAAGAGUUACACAGAAGAAGGUAUUGAAAAGAGUUACACAGAAGAAGGUAUUGAAAAGAGUAACACAGAAGAAGGUAUUGAAAAGAGUUACACAGAAGAAGGUAUUGAAAAGAGUAACACAGAAGAAGGUAUUGAAAAGAGUUACACAGAAGAAGGUAUUGAAAAGAGUAACACAGAAGAAGGUAUUGAAAAGAGUAACACAGAAGAAGGAAUUUGAAAAGAGUUACACAGAAGAAGGUAUUGAAAAGAGUUACACAGAAGAAGGUAUUGAAAAGAGUUACACAGAAGAAGGUAUUGAAAAGAGUUACACAGAAGAAGGUAUUGAAAAGAGUAACACAGAAGAAGGUAUUGAAAAGAGUAACACAGAAGAAGGUAUUGAAAAGAGUAACACAGAAGAAGGUAUUGAAAAGAGUUACACAGAAGAAGGUAUUGAAAAGAGUAACACAGAAGAAGGAAUUUGAAAAGAGUAACACAGAAGAAGGUAUUGAAAAGAGUAACACAGAAGAAGGAAUUUGAAAAGAGUUACACAGAAGAAGGUAUUGAAAAGAGUUACACAGAAGAAGGAAUUUGAAAAGAGUAACACAAGAAGAAGGAA
Molecule: long non-coding RNA, 1278 nt
Organism: Eriocheir sinensis (Chinese mitten crab)
Lineage: Eukaryota; Metazoa; Arthropoda; Malacostraca; Decapoda; Varunidae
Exons: 3
Source: RefSeq, a predicted model, not a curated record